Molecule: ribosomal RNA, 253 nt
Filed under: uncultured bacterium
Lineage: Bacteria
Description: partial 16S ribosomal RNA
Rfam family: Bacterial small subunit ribosomal RNA
Source: RNAcentral
UACGGAGGGUGCAAGCGUUAAUCGGAAUUACUGGGCGUAAAGCGUGCGCAGGCGGUUUGUUAAGUCUGCUGUGAAAUCCCCGAGCUCAACUUGGGAAUUGCAGUGGAUACUGGCAGGCUGGAGUAUGGUAGAGGAAGGUGGAAUUCCCGGUGUAGCAGUGAAAUGCGUAGAGAUCGGGAGGAACACCAGUGGCGAAGGCGGCCUUCUGGACCAAUACUGACGCUGAGGAGCGAAAGCGUGGGGAGCGAACAGG